This 253-nucleotide ribosomal RNA is filed under the name uncultured bacterium. RNAcentral describes it as "partial 16S ribosomal RNA". It matches the Rfam family "Bacterial small subunit ribosomal RNA", at positions 524 to 776 of the family's 1533-position model. The record is from RNAcentral.
UACAGAGGGUGCAAGCGUUGUUCGGAAUUAUUGGGCGUAAAGCGCGUGUAGGCGGCAUGGCAAGUCGGGUGUGAAAGCCCUCAGCUCAACUGAGGAAGUGCGCCCGAAACUGCUUUGCUUGAGUGCUGGAGAGGGUCGCGGAAUUCCCCAAGUAGAGGUGAAAUUCGUAGAUAUGGGGAGGAACACCGGUGGCGAAGGCGGCGACCUGAGCAGUAACUGACGCUGAGACGCGAAAGCGUGGGGAGCAAACAGG